UACAGAGGUCUCAAGCGUUGUUCGGAAUCACUGGGCGUAAAGGGUGCGUAGGCCGCACGGUAAGUCAGAGGUGAAAUCCCGGAGCUCAACUCCGGAAUGGCCUCCGAUACUGCCGUGCUCGAGGACUGGAGAGGAGUCUGGAAUUCACAGUGGAGCAGUGAAAUGCGUGGAUAUUGUGAGGAACACUAGUGGCGAAGGCGGUUCUCUGGGCAUGUUCUGACGCUGAGGAGCGAAAGUGUGGGGAGCGAACAGG
This 253-nucleotide ribosomal RNA is filed under the name uncultured bacterium. RNAcentral describes it as "partial 16S ribosomal RNA". It matches the Rfam family "Bacterial small subunit ribosomal RNA", at positions 524 to 776 of the family's 1533-position model. The record is from RNAcentral.